UGGGGAAUAUUGGACAAUGGGCGGAAGCCUGAUCCAGCAACGCCGCGUGAGGGAUGACGGCCUUCGGGUUGUAAACCUCUUUCACCAUUGACGAAGCUGCAUCUUUUUGGGUGUGGUGACGGUAGGUGGGGAAGAAGCACCGGCCAACUACGUGCCAGCAGCCGCGGUAAUACGUAGGGUGCGAGCGUUGUCCGGAAUUAUUGGGCGUAAAGGGCUCGUAGGCGGUUUGUCGCGUCGGGAGUGAAAACCUUGGGCUUAACUCAGGGCUUGCUUUCGAUACGGGCAGACUAGAGGUAUGCAGGGGAGAACGGAAUUCCUGGUGUAGCGGUGAAAUGCGCAGAUAUCAGGAGGAACACCGGUGGCGAAGGCGGUUCUCUGGGCAUGAUCUGACGCUGAGGAGCGAAAGUGUGGGGAGCGAACA
RNAcentral lists this ribosomal RNA (421 nucleotides) under uncultured bacterium. Its description in RNAcentral is "bacterial SSU rRNA". It matches the Rfam family "Bacterial small subunit ribosomal RNA", at positions 355 to 774 of the family's 1533-position model. RNAcentral also lists the same sequence under 1 other name. The record is from RNAcentral.